GACGAACGCUGGCGGCGUGCCUAACACAUGCAAGUCGAGCGAGUGAAUCUCCUUCGGGAGUGAAGCUAGCGGCGGACGGGUGAGUAACACGUGGGCAACCUGCCUCAUAGAGGGGAAUAGCCUUUCGAAAGGAAGAUUAAUACCGCAUAAGAUUGUAGCUUCGCAUGAAGUAGCAAUUAAAGGAGCAAUCCGCUAUGAGAUGGGCCCGCGGCGCAUUAGCUAGUUGGUGAGGUAACGGCUCACCAAGGCGACGAUGCGUAGCCGACCUGAGAGGGUGAUCGGCCACAUUGGGACUGAGACACGGCCCAGACUCCUACGGGAGGCAGCAGUGGGGAAUAUUGCACAAUGGGGGAAACCCUGAUGCAGCAACGCCGCGUGAGUGAUGACGG
Molecule: ribosomal RNA, 389 nt
Filed under: uncultured bacterium
Lineage: Bacteria
Description: bacterial SSU rRNA
Rfam family: Bacterial small subunit ribosomal RNA
Source: RNAcentral